Molecule: small nuclear RNA, 102 nt
Organism: Sapajus apella (tufted capuchin)
Lineage: Eukaryota; Metazoa; Chordata; Mammalia; Primates; Cebidae
Source: RefSeq, a predicted model, not a curated record
ACAGUCAAUGACAGUGCUAAUACCCAAAUUGGAAUGGUACAGAGAUUAGCCUGGUUCCUGUGUAAAGAUGACAUUCAAAGUUAUGAAAUAAUCUAUAUUUUG